GUGGCAAUCGUUAAGCAAAAACAAAACACAAAGGCAUGGAGACCUGGGGAAAAAGCAACCCUGAGAAAUCCACCCUCUGAAAGUGACGAGGAUGGGCAACAGAGGCUACCUCACGUGGCAAACUUUAAGCCAAAAGAAACACACAAGGGCGUGGAGACCUGGGGAAAAAGCAGCACUGAGAAAUCUACCCUCUGAAACUGACGAGGAUGGGCAACAGAGGCUACCUCAGGUGGCAAUCGUUAAGCAAAAGAAACACACAAGGGCGUGGAGACCUGGGGAAAAAGCAACACGGAGAAAUCCGCCCUCUGAAACUGAGGAAGAUGGGCAAGAGAGGCUAGCUCAGGUGGCAAUAGUUAAGCAAAAACAAAACACAAAGGCGUGGAGACCUGGGGAAAAAGCAACCCUGAAAUAUCUACCCUCUGAAACUGAGGAAGAUGGGCAAGAGAGGCUGGCUUCAGGUGGCAAAGUUGAAGCAAAAGAAACACACAAGGGCGUGGAGACCUGGGGGAAAAGCAGCACUGAGAAAUCUACCUUCUGAAACUGAUGAGGAUGGGCAACAGAGGCUACCUCAGGUGGCAAUCGUUAAGCAAAAGAAACACACAAGGGCGUGGAGACCUGGGGAAAAAGCAACACGGAGAAAUCCACCCUCUGAAACUGAGGAAGAUGGGCAAGAGAGGCUAGCUCAGGUGGCAAUCGUUAAGCAAAAACAAAACACAAAGGCGUGGAGACCUGGGGAAAAAGCAACCCUGAAAUAUCUACCCUCUGAAACUGAGGAAGAUGGGCAAGAGAGGCUGGCUUCAGGUGGCAAUCGUUAAGCAAAAGAAACACACAAGGGCGUGGAGACCUGGGGAAAAAGCAACACGGAGAAAUCCACCCUCUGAAACUGACGAACAUGGGCAAAAGAAGCUAGCUCAGGUUGCAACCUUUAAGCAGAAAAAAAAAAGACGCAAGGGCGUGGAGAGCUGGCGAAAAAGCAACACUGAGAAAUCUACCCUCUGAAACCGAAGAAGAUGGGCAACAGAGGCUAGCUCAGGUGGCAAUCUUUAAGCAAAAAAAAUAAAAUAAAAAAAUACAAUGGCGAGGAGACCCGGUCAAAAAGCAACCCUGAAAAAUCUACCCUCUGAA
RNAcentral lists this long non-coding RNA (1125 nucleotides) under Equus asinus (donkey). Its description in RNAcentral is "lncRNA (ENSEASG00005034799.1)". Lineage: Eukaryota; Metazoa; Chordata; Mammalia; Perissodactyla; Equidae. The record is from RNAcentral.